This is a non-coding RNA of Chiloscyllium plagiosum (whitespotted bambooshark), 836 nucleotides long. The record is from RefSeq and is a predicted model, not a curated record. NCBI's taxonomy places the organism in Eukaryota, Metazoa, Chordata, Chondrichthyes, Orectolobiformes, Hemiscylliidae.
GCACUUUGUGUUUUUAUUUCACAUUUCAAACAGUAUAGAAGAGAAGGAAGAGUCGGGGAGCCACAACACAUGUUUGCUUUAUGUUGCUGGUUACCACAAGUCAUGGAGGUCCACUGUUACCUCCAUACAUACAGCAAUCUAAACAAUGAUUGAUCCUGUUUAAUGUCAUGCUCGAAGAACUGGGAAACGACCUACAAGGUUUGCUGUAUACUUCUCUGCAGCUGCUACAAGAUAGGCAUGUCUUAACAACAAUAACAGCCUUUACCGAGAGUUUCUACCCCUGAGCUAACCAUUCAGAACAGAAGAAAAUAUGUGUUUGCAGUUACUAAUUACAAAGCAGCCUUAUGGCCCUUUGCAUAGAAGUAACAGGAACUACACUUGAGUUGCUAUCUGAUCAUAUACACAAUGCACAAAGCACAAUACAUCAUGCACAAUGAACACUGAAUGUGGAACAUUUGAAGAUGGAUCACCUUUAAAGAUGUCAGCGAUCCAGCAAUGGUCUGGGCUUUCCAGACCCAUUGUUAUAAGGGCUGUGAUGGCAGGUUUGGGAUAUCAGCUGACUGGACCAGAGCAGUUACUACCAAGAAACAUCCUGCAAUUUUGAAUUGGGCUUUCAAGAGGCACCAGCUAUAAUGAAUAAAUACCCAACACCCACGUUAAAACACUAGUUAUGUUUACUUCUACACAUACUUAGCAAUUUAAUGAAUUUAUUAAUAUGAGUCAAUUCCUCUUUUCAUGAUCACAAGAGCCUAGACAUCAAUUUAGGCAAUAUUAGUGAAUAAAUUUUAACUCAUGCCUUUCUCAUUAUUUUAGAAUCAUGGAGAUGUAUAGCACAG